RNAcentral lists this ribosomal RNA (497 nucleotides) under uncultured bacterium. RNAcentral's name for it is "partial 16S ribosomal RNA". It matches the Rfam family "Bacterial small subunit ribosomal RNA", at positions 28 to 507 of the family's 1533-position model. The record is from RNAcentral.
GAUGAACGCUGGCGGCGUGCCUAAUACAUGCAAGUCGAGCGAACAGACGAGGAGCUUGCUCCUCUGACGUUAGCGGCGGACGGGUGAGUAACACGUGGAUAACCUACCUAUAAGACUGGGAUAACUUCGGGAAACCGGAGCUAAUACCGGAUAAUAUAUUGAACCGCAUGGUUCAAUAGUGAAAGACGGUUUUGCUGUCACUUAUAGAUGGAUCCGCGCCGCAUUAGCUAGUUGGUAAGGUAACGGCUUACCAAGGCGACGAUGCGUAGCCGACCUGAGAGGGUGAUCGGCCACACUGGAACUGAGACACGGUCCAGACUCCUACGGGAGGCAGCAGUAGGGAAUCUUCCGCAAUGGGCGAAAGCCUGACGGAGCAACGCCGCGUGAGUGAUGAAGGUCUUCGGAUCGUAAAACUCUGUUAUUAGGGCAGAACAAAUGUGUAAGUAACUAUGCACGUCUUGACGGUACCUAAUCAGAAAGCCACGGCUAACUACGUG